This 62-nucleotide transfer RNA is filed under the name Morphostenophanes yunnanus. RNAcentral describes it as "tRNA-Phe". The record is from RNAcentral. Lineage: Eukaryota; Metazoa; Arthropoda; Insecta; Coleoptera; Tenebrionidae.
GCUUGGAUAGCUUAUGUAGAGCGUGAUAUUGAAGAUAUCAAGGAGAUUAAUAUUUUCAGGUA